Molecule: non-coding RNA, 45 nt
Filed under: Trichobilharzia regenti
Lineage: Eukaryota; Metazoa; Platyhelminthes; Trematoda; Strigeidida; Schistosomatidae
Source: RNAcentral
AUCCAGGUGACGAGUCCCAAACAGGACGAAAUGCGCAUCCUGGAU